RNAcentral lists this ribosomal RNA (465 nucleotides) under Vreelandella stevensii. RNAcentral describes it as "partial 16S ribosomal RNA". It matches the Rfam family "Bacterial small subunit ribosomal RNA", at positions 338 to 795 of the family's 1533-position model. Lineage: Bacteria; Pseudomonadati; Pseudomonadota; Gammaproteobacteria; Oceanospirillales; Halomonadaceae. The record is from RNAcentral.
CCUACGGUGGGCAGCAGUGGGGAAUAUUGGACAAUGGGCGAAAGCCUGAUCCAGCCAUGCCGCGUGUGUGAAGAAGGCCUUCGGGUUGUAAAGCACUUUCAGUGGGGAAGAAAGCCUUGGGGCUAAUACCCUCGAGGAAGGACAUCACCCACAGAAGAAGCACCGGCUAACUCCGUGCCAGCAGCCGCGGUAAUACGGAGGGUGCGAGCGUUAAUCGGAAUUACUGGGCGUAAAGCGCGCGUAGGCGGUCUGAUAAGCCGGUUGUGAAAGCCCCGGGCUCAACCUGGGAACGGCAUCCGGAACUGUCAGGCUAGAGUGCAGGAGAGGAAGGGAGAAUUCCCGGUGUAGCGGUGAAAUGCGUAGAGAUCGGGAGGAAUACCAGUGGCGAAGGCGGCCUUCUGGACUGACACUGACGCUGAGGUGCGAAAGCGUGGGUAGCAAACAGGAUUAGAUACCCGUGUAGUC